Non-coding RNA from Monodelphis domestica (gray short-tailed opossum), 2757 nucleotides. NCBI's taxonomy places the organism in Eukaryota, Metazoa, Chordata, Mammalia, Didelphimorphia, Didelphidae. The record is from RefSeq and is a predicted model, not a curated record.
GGAAGAAAGAUAACGAGUCCAAUUUUAGACAUGUUAAAAAAAGAAGAUGUCUACUGAAUAUUCAUUUUGAGAUGCCUGAAAGACAAUUGGAAAUGAAAGGUUGGACAUCAGCAGAGGGGUAAGUUUAAUAAGUAGAUGUGAGAAUCAUCGGCAUAGCAAUAAUGAUAAUUGUAUCUAUGGAAACUCAUGAGAUCACCAAGUAAAGCACUACAUAGGAAGAAUAGAAAAAGGUCCAGGACAGAGCCCUGUUGGUAAACCAUAGUUAAUGAGCAUUACCUGAAUGAAGAUUCAGAGAAGGAGACAAAGAAGGAGUGGUCAGUUAAGCAAGAGAAUGAAGAGAGAAUGGCUUCUCCAAAACAGAGAGAAGAGUAUUGGGAGGGAACAGUGAUUGACAGUGUCAAAGACUACAGAGAGAUCAAGAAAAGAUUGGGAUUAAGAAAAGCUGGCAAAUGUAUUGUGAACCAGAAGCUUAGAGUAUAAAACUUCUUGGAAGAAUACCAGAGAACAAAGCUGAUAAGUAGAAAGAACAUCAGUAGCAGAAAUGUUCCCUACACUGAAAAAAGGCACAUCUGAAAGUAUCUGAAAAGGACAGAAGUCAAAGUAAGACAAGCAAAGGGGCUCUUCCACUGGAAACAGUUUGAAAGGUAGGCAGUAAGAGGGAAAUUCCAUGUUAAAAGGGGGCAAAACUACAAAGGAAAAGUGCAGGCUGACUACCCAUCCACCCAUACCUACCAUGCCAAAAGCAGAGCCAGGAUCAGGGCAAUUUCCAAAUCCCAGGGUGCUGGCUUAAGAAAAAGCACCCCUGAAGACUCCAGGCCCUGAAAGUGAAAUUCAAAGCUUAAUAUCACUGGAUUCACUCCCAGAAGCAGAGUCAGAAGUGCAGCCAUGGGGGUAGCAGCAGGGGCAGGAAAGAUAACUUUAGGGCAAAAUACUGCAAAGUAUGCAAUACCACAGACCUACACCUGGAAAUCCCAGCCCUGGAGGUGAGAUUCAGAGCUCCAGAGCACUGGCCUCACUCAACAGCAGGCAGCAGCAUCAGUUGCAGCAGCAUCAGUUGCAGCAGCAGAGAAAGAUAGCCUCACACAAAACACAUUGCAGCCUGCAACACCUACAAAAACAAACAAACAAAAAAUCACUACCGGCCUGCCUGCACUCACUCAGACCUUUGACAGGGAAGGGAAGAUAGCCCCAAAGCAAAGCCCUGCAAGACAUAAGCUAAUAUAAAAUUGACCAGCAAGAUGCAGGACUCCCAGUCCUCUAGUGGAAAAUGAGUAAACAACAAUAACAAAAAGGCUCUUGAUCCUGGGAAAUUUCUACAGAGAAAAAGAACAAAAAACUGAAGCAACAGGAGAGGGUGAGAAAUAAGUAAAUACAUGCAGAAUCUCCAAAAAAUAAAAGGAAACAAGUCACAAGCUCUGGAGGAACUCAAAAAGGAGUUCUAAAACCAAGUAAAACAGAAGAAAAUGGGUAAAGUGAGAAAAAGAAAUGAAAGUAACACAAAAAGAAAAUAGCAGCUUAAAAGGCAAAAUUGCCCAAAUGGAAAGAGAGACACAGAAAUCAAAUGAAGCAAUAAAUAAAUUUAAAAACCAGAGCUGACCUCCUGGAAAAAUAGGCAAAGAACUCCAAUGGUGAAAAGAGUACCAUGAAAGACAGGAUCGACCAAAUUGACAAGGAGAAUAAAAAGAUCAUGAAUGAAAGUCAGUCUUUAAAAUCUAGAAUUGGGCAACUAGAAUUUAAUGAUUUCACAACACAUCAAGAAAUCAUAAAACAAAAUAAUCAAAAGAAUGAAAAAGAAAUACUAGGAAACAUGGAAUUUCUUGAAUAAAACAACUGACCUGUCUUGAUUUUUGCAUUAAUGUGACUUAAAUGAAGUAGAGUUGCACAAAGUCAUCAGUCUCACUAUCUCUUCCAGAGGGAUCAAAGAACAAGAUGACUGUUGAUCCAGGAUGCAGUGGACAACUGACAUGUUAGAUAUCUAACUGAGCUCUAAGAGCUCUGUAGUGCUUAUUUCCACCUCUUCAUAGAGAAGCUAGCAUUUCCCCUAUGAGUACCAGCUUCAAAAAACUCAACAUUCCAUCUCUCAGUCCUCCUAAGGCUGUACAUAUACAUGAUUUUGCUCCUUCUCUCUGUUUUCCUAAAGUAUCAUUUGAUGUUUGUAUGGCCUUUGAUAUCAUAUUUUGAGCUUCUGUCUAGAACUUGGGCAAAGUAGGACUCCAUUUCUCACUGCCAUACUCUUCCUACCUGUGUCUAAUUACAGAAUAAAUAACUUCACCAUUGUUAUCAUUGUUUUCAUUAUCAUCAGCAACAUUACCAUCUUCACCAUCUGACAAAGGACUAACAUUAAAAUAUCAAUGCCUCUAAGUACCAUUAACUAAAAUGGAAGCACUGUAACCCUGCAUUGUGUAUCUGCUUUGAUGAUUUUUCUAAGCACAACAGAACCAAGACUUACAGCCAAGCAUUCUAAUUAUUUCAUGCUUACAUUGCAAAAAAAAAAUAACUCCCACCUCUUAAAUCACAAUUAUCUCCUUUUUCUAUAAAUGCCUUAACUUUGAAUCAUUGUUUUCCAAACCAAUAAUUACACCCUUUUCUUCCCCAUUCCUUAAAAAAAAAAAUUGGAUGGGAAGCCAGUUAUACUUCCCCAAAUUGUCAAAAAUAAAGAGAAAAAGCAUUAUUUUUCUCUUCUUUACUGCUUAGGUUUAGGAAUAGCUCAUGAAAAUCAAAAGAAGAGAAAUAAUUUCAUAUUGAGACAGUAGUAUC